UCUCCGUUGGUGAACCAGCGGAGGGAUCAUUACCGAGUUUUUCUACUCUCAAACCCCUGUGAACUUAUACCUUUACUGUUGCUUCGGCGGGUUAACGCCCCGGAAGGCCCAAAAAGCCGCCGGAACCAGGCGCCCGCCGGGGGACCCAAACUCUUGUAUUUCUUACCUUGCAUGUCUGAGUGGAAUCAUAAACAAAUGAAUCAAAACUUUCAACAACGGAUCUCUUGGUUCUG
RNAcentral lists this unclassified non-coding RNA (233 nucleotides) under plant metagenome. RNAcentral's name for it is "partial contains small subunit ribosomal RNA, internal transcribed spacer 1, and 5.8S ribosomal RNA". The record is from RNAcentral.